GCUUACGGCCAUACACCCUGAACACGCCGUCGCGAUCUCGGAAGCUAACGCAGGGUCGGGCCUGGUUAGUACUUGGAUGGGAGACCGCCUGGGAAUACCAGGUGCUGUAAGUU
RNAcentral lists this ribosomal RNA (113 nucleotides) under Labrus bergylta (ballan wrasse). The record is from RNAcentral. Lineage: Eukaryota; Metazoa; Chordata; Actinopteri; Labriformes; Labridae.